RNAcentral lists this long non-coding RNA (765 nucleotides) under Olea europaea subsp. europaea. The record is from RNAcentral. Lineage: Eukaryota; Viridiplantae; Streptophyta; Magnoliopsida; Lamiales; Oleaceae.
GCCACCCACCGCCAGCACCACCACUACCACCGUCGACACCACCUAUAAUGUCAAUUGUCAAAGACAAAAAUAACCUACCCACCCAACCAUCUCAUUAUCAGCAGUAAAAACCAUGGCUUCUUCAUCAAUGGCGAAAUCAAAUUUCCACCACCCAACCAUCUGCCAUUGCAGUCACCAAUUUCCAAUCCAAUUUUUGAAACCGAACAAAAAGGUGAGGGUAAUUAUCCUUGAACAGUGGGGCAAAUGGUGAAGUCGGAAUAACUGUUCAAAAUUGGAGAAAUUGGAUUGGAAUUUGGAGACGGAAUAAAUAUAAUCCAUCUUUAGACUCCUAAUUGAUGUUCUGAAGAAAGUGAAUAUCUCAGAAAAUGAAAUUUUGUGCUAAUGGUAUUCUGGCGUUAUUGAGUUUUUGGGUUUUCCAGUGGUAUUUCAAAGCCAGUAACAAGUAAGAUCCGAGGUUUACCAUUAACAUAAUUUGGAAAUUCAGGAUUUUUUCUGAAGCCAUACCUUUUGGUCUUCGUCCCAUGUACUGAUUCUCGGCCCAAGAGCGUAAGCAACAUUGGGGUUCAAAAAUUCUUUAAUCGGGUCAUCCGGAUCAGUUGAGUCCUUAUCAGACUUGAUCUUGAGAGAAGUCCAUGGGGGAUUACAGAGGCAGCGCGGCCACGAACAUCAUUUGCUGCGGCAAUUGUCGGCAGCCAGCUGGAGACUCUCUUUUGAGGAAGAAGAUGACGUGACCUAUUCCUUUUCUCAUAUAAUAUUAACAUCAUA